This 91-nucleotide ribosomal RNA is filed under the name Staphylococcus aureus. RNAcentral also lists the same sequence under 216 other names. The record is from RNAcentral. Lineage: Bacteria; Bacillati; Bacillota; Bacilli; Caryophanales; Staphylococcaceae.
UGGUGACUAUAGCAAGGAGGUCACACCUGUUCCCAUGCCGAACACAGAAGUUAAGCUCCUUAGCGUCGAUGGUAGUCGAACUUACGUUCCG